Molecule: unclassified non-coding RNA, 1827 nt
Filed under: Hevea brasiliensis (rubber tree)
Lineage: Eukaryota; Viridiplantae; Streptophyta; Magnoliopsida; Malpighiales; Euphorbiaceae
Source: RNAcentral
GUAACACCACACCUCUCCAUCGAGAGAAAAGAAUCUCUCUCUCUUGAACACUGUAAAACACUACCCAUCAUCAUCAUCAUCCUCAGCAAAAACACAAAAUCAAGAAGAGAAAAAGGAAAAGAAAAAAAGAAAUUCUAUUAUCUCUUUCUCUUCUGGCUUCUUGAACCCUUUGAAUCUGCAAUUCUCUUUGUUUCUGUUUAUUUUCUCGUUUCUCAUAUAGCAAGAACCCUAAUAAAGAAAGAAAAACACCAGACCAGAAUAGAUAUUUAUUUGAACCAUGACCCUUGAAGACUCUUUAAGAUCUCUGUCUCUAGACUACCUCAAUCUGCUCAUCAAUGGCCAAGCCUUCUCUGAUGUAACUUUCAGUGUAGAGGGUCGCUUAGUCCAUGCUCACAGGUGUAUUUUAGCAGCAAGAAGCCUCUUCUUUAGGAAAUUCUUUUGUGGACCCGACCCACCAUCGUGGCUAGACCCAUCUGGAUCAAGGAUAAACCCGGUGGGAUCACCGGGUUCAAGGCCAAAUGUUAUACCAGUGAACUCAGUGGGAUAUGAGGUGUUCUUGUUGCUGUUACAGUUCUUGUAUAGUGGACAAGUCUCUAUUGUGCCUCAAAAGCAUGAGCCAAGGCCUAAUUGUGGUGAGAGAGGGUGUUGGCACACGCAUUGCACCUCAGCCGUUGAUCUUGCCCUCGACACUCUUGCUGCCGCUAGAUACUUUGGAGUUGAACAGCUUGCAUUGCUCACUCAGAAGCAAUUGGCAACCAUGGUAGAGAAAUCUUCAAUUGAAGACGUCAUGAAAGUACUAAUUGCUUCAAGAAAGCAAGACAUGCACCAACUUUGGACUACUUGCUCUCAUCUUGUGGCCAAAUCAGGCCUGCCUCCUGAAGUUCUAGCUAAACACCUUCCCAUAGAUGUUGUGGCCAAAAUUGAAGAGCUACGCCUCAAAUCUUCCCUUGCUCGCAGAUCACUAAUGCCUCACCAUCAUCACCACCAUGAUCUUACUGCAGCGGCUGAUCUUGAGGACCAAAAGAUUCGAAGAAUGAGAAGGGCAUUAGACUCUUCUGAUGUUGAACUAGUGAAGCUUAUGGUUAUGGGUGAAGGCCUAAAUCUUGAUGAAGCAUUGGCUCUACAUUAUGCAGUUGAAAAUUGUAGCAGAGAAGUGGUUAAGGCUUUGCUUGAAUUGGGUGCAGCCGAUGUUAACUAUCCAGCCGGACCAGCGGGGAAAACCCCACUUCAUAUCGCGGCAGAAAUGGUGUCACCGGACAUGGUUGCAGUCCUUCUAGACCACCAUGCUGACCCAAAUGUAAGAACCGUUGAUGGUGUGACCCCUCUGGACAUUCUUCGAACCCUAACCUCUGAUUUCUUGUUUAAGGGGGCAGUCCCGGGGUUAGCACACAUUGAGCCCAACAAGCUUAGGCUGUGUCUUGAGCUUGUCCAGUCUGCAGCUUUGGUUCUUUCUCGUGAAGAAGGAAGUGUUAAUGCACCUACUUCAACUCCAAUUUAUCCACCCAUGAGUGAAGAACAUAACAGCAGCAGCAACAGUAGCAAUCUUGCUAACCUGAAUCUUGAUUCAAGAUUGGUUUAUUUGAAUCUUGGGGCGACUGGUUCAGGCCAAAUGGGACCAAGAAUGGAAGGAGACGAUGAUAGUAGCCAUAACAGCCAGAGAGAUGUUAUUAGUCGGCAUGAUCCAACAAUGUACCACCACUCUCGCGACUUCUAGCUCAACUCUCAUCAUAUAUAUAAGGAAAAAUAUAUAUAAUCUUCUAUAUAUAAAUAUAUAUAUAUCGAUGAUGGAGGAGGCCGGGAAAGCCAAGUGAAAAACUUAAUGAAAGG